CCUACGGGUGGCAGCAGUGGGGAAUAUUGCACAAUGGAGGAAACCCUGAUGCAGCGACGCAGCGUGAAUGAAGAAGUCUUUCGGUAUGUAAAGCUCUAUCAACAGGGGAGAAAUAAAGUCCUUCGGACGUUGGACGGUACCUGACUAAGAAGACCCGGCUAACGACGUGCUAGCAGCCGCGGUAAUACGUAGGGGGAAAGCGUUGUCCGGAUUUACUGGGUGUAAAGGGAGCGUAGACGGCAGCGCAAGUCUGGAGUGAAAGCCCAUGGCUUAACCAUGGAACUGCAUUGGAAACUGGGCAUCUGGAGUGCAGGAGAGGUAAGCGGAAUUCGUAGUGUAGCGGUGAAAUGCGUAGAUAUUAGGAGGAACACCAGUGGCGAAGGCGGCUUACUGGACUGUAACUGACGUUGAGGCUCGAAAGCGUGGGGAGCAAACAGGAUUAGAUACCCUAGUAGUC
RNAcentral lists this ribosomal RNA (457 nucleotides) under uncultured bacterium. Its description in RNAcentral is "partial 16S ribosomal RNA". It matches the Rfam family "Bacterial small subunit ribosomal RNA", at positions 338 to 795 of the family's 1533-position model. The record is from RNAcentral.